This 423-nucleotide ribosomal RNA is filed under the name uncultured bacterium. RNAcentral describes it as "bacterial SSU rRNA". It matches the Rfam family "Bacterial small subunit ribosomal RNA", at positions 358 to 773 of the family's 1533-position model. The record is from RNAcentral.
GGAAUUUUGGACAAUGGGCGCAAGCCUGAUCCAGCAAUGCCGCGUGAGUGAAGAAGGCCUUCGGGUUGUAAAGCUCUUUUGUCAGGGAAGAACCGGUGAGGGCUAAUAUCCUUCACUAAUGACGGUACCUGAAGAAGAAGCCCCGGCUAACUACUGGCCAGCAGCCGCGGGAAUACGUAGGGUGCAAGCGUUAAUCGGAAUUACUGGGCGUAAAGCGUGCGCAGGCGGUUUUGUAAGUCUGAUGUGAAAUCCCCGGGCUCAACCUGGGAAUUGCAUUGGAGACUGCAAGGCUAGAAUCUGGCAGAGGGGGGUAGAAUUCCACGUGUAGCAGUGAAAUGCGUAGAGAUGUGGAGGAACACCGAUGGCGAAGGCAGCCCCCUGGGUCAAGAUUGACGCUCAUGCACGAAAGCGUGGGGAGCAAAC